RNAcentral lists this transfer RNA (72 nucleotides) under Calliarthron tuberculosum. Its description in RNAcentral is "tRNA-Cys". It matches the Rfam family "tRNA". Rfam says of the family: Transfer RNA (tRNA) molecules are approximately 80 nucleotides in length. The record is from RNAcentral. Lineage: Eukaryota; Rhodophyta; Florideophyceae; Corallinales; Corallinaceae.
UGGCGGCAUAGCCAAGUGGUAAGGCAAAGGAUUGCAAAUUCUCUAUUCCCCAGUUCAAAUCUGGGUGCCGCC